AGUCACUGACAUUAGACUACCCCUGUAGUCCCAGCCGUAAACUAUGCGCGUUAGGUGUACUGGCGACCACGAGUCACCGGGUGACCGAAGGGAAACCGCGAAACGUGCCGCCUGGGAAGUACGGUCGCAAGGCUGAAACUUAAAGGAAUUGGCGGGGAGCACCACAACGGGUGGAGCCUGCGGUUUAAUUGGACUCAACGCCGGAAAUCUCACCGGAUAGGACAGACAUAUGAUAGUCGGGCUGAAGACUCUACUUGAUGAUCUG
Molecule: ribosomal RNA, 265 nt
Filed under: uncultured archaeon
Lineage: Archaea
Description: partial 16S ribosomal RNA
Rfam family: Archaeal small subunit ribosomal RNA
Source: RNAcentral